Non-coding RNA from Pelobates cultripes (western spadefoot toad), 214 nucleotides. The record is from the annotation of a GenBank genome assembly. Lineage: Eukaryota; Metazoa; Chordata; Amphibia; Anura; Pelobatidae.
GGGUACACACUGCCGCUGGGGAGGAAGGACUGCACCUUCAGCUCCCUGGGGUACACACUGCCGCUGGGGAGGAAGGACUGCACCUUCAGCUCCCUGGGAUACACACUGCCGCUGGAGAUCUGGGCUGACCGCCCAGCAUCCCUGUAGGGCCGGUAGAGAGACCGCCGUCCCAUCUCCACCUGCCAUCUGUGGGUCUUCCCAGGACCAGUCUGUG